Molecule: ribosomal RNA, 253 nt
Filed under: uncultured bacterium
Lineage: Bacteria
Description: partial 16S ribosomal RNA
Rfam family: Bacterial small subunit ribosomal RNA
Source: RNAcentral
UACGGGGGGGGCAAGCGUUAUCCGGAAUUACUGGGCGUAAAGCGCACGCAGGCGGUCUUUUAAGUUUGACGUGAAAGCUCCCGGCUUAACUGGGAGAGGUCGUUGAAUACUGGAAGACUUGAGGCAAUGAGAGGGGUGUAGAAUUCCCGGUGUAGUGGUGGAAUGCGUAGAUAUCGGGGGGAAUACCAGUGGCGAAAGCGGCACCCUAGCGUUAGCCUGACGCUCAUGUGCGAAAGCGUGGGGAGCGAACGGG